Ananas comosus (pineapple) is the source of this 1631-nucleotide RNA transcript. RefSeq lists it as uncharacterized. NCBI's taxonomy places the organism in Eukaryota, Viridiplantae, Streptophyta, Magnoliopsida, Poales, Bromeliaceae. The record is from RefSeq and is a predicted model, not a curated record. The transcript is spliced from 6 exons.
CCUCUAUUAAUCCCCCUAAUUUUUUGUCCACGUGGCAACAUUAGGCUAAUUCAACUUUGGUGGUCCCUACAUGUCAUCUUAAAAUAUUCAAUCUAGGCUAAUUCAAUCCCACGUCAUCAAGCCCCUUCGUCCCCGCCUCUUCGAUCGCUCCCUGAUUCCCACCGCUUCGAUCGCUGCCCCGCCUCUUCGAACCCCCCCUGCACAACCACCUCUUCAAUCCUUCCUCCGCUACUUCGAACCCUCCCCCACAACCGCCUCUUCAAUCAUUUCGUUUUUUUUUUCUCUCCGCCUUGCCCCUCGCCCCUCUCUCUCUCCCCCUCCGAUCCCGCGGCGCGAUCUUCGCCGGGAUUCGCAGCGGGGGGAGAGGAAGGCGGCGUCGUUGAGGGGGUGGUGAUCGAGGGAGAGUGAUAUCUUCUUCUUCGAUCCUUUCUCCAACGGCGAGCGAUGGCGAUGGGAGGGAUCUCAGGGAGGAAGAUGAAGAGAACGAUGAUAAUGGUGAGAACGCAGGGGAGGAAGAGGACACGUACUUGAGCGACGGUGUAGAAGAGGAGGACGACGACUCCGACUUCGGGGAGAACAUCCUCAACGGCCUCGAAGACUCCGCCGUGGUCGAGGAUUGUUCCCGGUCCGUCUCCACGGUUAUCACAAAGGAGUAUGUUUUAGUGGCGCAGCAACGCCAAGCUUACCUAUGGCCGAUCCUACAUCAUAAUCGCAUACUACGUCCUACUCUGGGUUGUUAGCGUUCUCAAUGUCCUAUGAUACGUCAUCCAGAAACCAGGGGGAAUCAUUGCUCUUCUGGACGAGACUUGUAUGCUACCAAGAUCAACUCAUGAAACAUUUGCCCAGAAGUUAUAUCAAACAUUUAAAGAUCAUCCACGCUUUAGCAAGCCUAAAUUUUCAGUCUGGCUUCACCAUCCAUCAUUAUGCUGGUGAUGCUAAGAGAUUGUAGGGCUUUAUUUCUGAUGCUUGAGCACAAGCAUUGUGCUCAUUCCUGGCCCAGUUCUUUGACUAGAGGGUUAGAACCAGGUGAUAAGCGAUUGCAUUUUUCGCAGAAGACAACUUGCUGACACUUCUUCAAUAAUUUAAUUAUUUUGAAUCGAAACCCUUAACUAAUAUAUUGUUUAGUAUAAGAAUGUGUUUUUAUGGUCAUGUAAGACGAGGUAUUAAGAAACAGAACAUCAUUAACAUUGUGUUCUGCUCAAUGGAAUAAGAAACUUCGCUUUUCAUUUUUGUCUUAUUGCAGGGCUACGUUAUAUUGGAUCUAAUUUGUCAUGUAUUCUGGACGAGAAUUAUCAGCCUCCUGUCGACUUCAAUAUCAUUUUCCCUGCAAUGCUUGAACUUGCCAUCGAUUUGGGUUUAGACAUUCCCAUAAGUCAGCAUGCUAUUUAGGAUAUUCUUUGCCUUCGAGAUUUAGAAUUGAAAAGGUCAGGCGCGAUGGUUAUUCCAAUGUAAAUUUUGUGUGAAUCUUCUAUCAUCAAAUUUCACUCAGUAUACAAAUUUUUUUUUGUAAUUGACAUUUAUGUUGUGAUACGUAUAUUGAUUUUUUAGGGAUUCUGCACACAAUUCUGAGGGACGAAAAGCAUACAUGGCAUAUGUAUCCCAAGGAUUAGAAUAUUUCUAAGAGUCUAUUU